UACAGAGGUCUCAAGCGUUGUUCGGAUUCAUUGGGCGUAAAGGGUGCGUAGGCGGCGCGGUAAGUCGGGUGUGAAACCUCGGAGCUUAACUCCGAAACUGCAUUCGAUACUGCCGUGCUUGAGGACUGGAGAGGAGACUGGAAUUUACGGUGUAGCGGUGAAAUGCGUAGAUAUCGUAAGGAAGACCAGUGGCGAGGGCGGGUCUCUGGACAGUUCCUGACGCUGAGGCACGAAGGUCAGGGGAGCAAACGGG
This 253-nucleotide ribosomal RNA is filed under the name uncultured bacterium. RNAcentral describes it as "partial 16S ribosomal RNA". It matches the Rfam family "Bacterial small subunit ribosomal RNA", at positions 524 to 776 of the family's 1533-position model. The record is from RNAcentral.